This 395-nucleotide ribosomal RNA is filed under the name Peckia alvarengai. RNAcentral describes it as "partial 16S ribosomal RNA". It matches the Rfam family "Bacterial large subunit ribosomal RNA", at positions 1922 to 2526 of the family's 2925-position model. The record is from RNAcentral. Lineage: Eukaryota; Metazoa; Arthropoda; Insecta; Diptera; Sarcophagidae.
UUAAAAUGGCCGCAGUAUACUAACUGUGCAAAGGUAGCAUAAUCAUUAGUCUUUUAAUUGGAGGCUGGUAUGAAUGGUUGGACGAGAUAUUAACUGUUUCAUUUAAAUUUAUAAUAGAAUUUUAUUUUUUAGUCAAAAAGCUAAAAUUUAUUUAAAAGACGAGAAGACCCUAUAAAUCUUUAUAUAUAUAUUAUUAGGAUUUUGUAGAUUUUUUUUAUUAUAAUAAUUGAUUAUAUUUUAUUGGGGUGAUAUUAAAAUUUAAUAAACUUUUAAUUUUUAAGGUCAUUAAUUUAUGAGUAAUUGAUCCGUUAAUAACGAUUAAAAAUUUAAGUUACUUUAGGGAUAACAGCGUAAUUUUUUUGGAGAGUUCAUAUCGAUAAAAAAGAUUGCGACCU